GAUGAAGAACGUAGCGAAAUGCGAUAAGUAGUGUGAAUUGCAGAAUUCAGUGAAUCAUCGAAUCUUUGAACGCACAUUGCGCCCCUUGGUAUUCCAUGGGGCAUGCCUGUUCGAGCGUCAUUUGUACCUUCAAGCUUUGCUUGGUGUUGGGUGUUUGUCUCGCCUUUGCGUGUAGACUCGCCUUAAAAUAAUUGACAGCCGGCGUAUUGAUUUCGGAGCGCAGUACAUCUCGCGCUUUGCACUCAUAACGACAGCGUCCAAAAGUACAUUUUACACUCUUGACCUCGGAUCAGGUAGGGAUACCCGCUGAACUUAAGCAUAUCAAUAAGCGGAGGA
This 336-nucleotide unclassified non-coding RNA is filed under the name soil metagenome. RNAcentral describes it as "partial contains 5.8S ribosomal RNA, internal transcribed spacer 2, and large subunit ribosomal RNA". The stretch from base 1 to 120 matches the Rfam family "5.8S ribosomal RNA", at positions 35 to 154 of the family's 154-position model. The record is from RNAcentral.